CGGUGGAGGUGGUGGUUUCGGUGGAGGUGCCAGAGGCGGUGCAGGCGGCGGUGCCGGUGCAGGAAGCGGUGCCUGUGGUGGCCUUAGAGGUGGUUCAAAUGGAGGAGGAGGACUCGGUGGUGGUGCCGGAGGAGGUUCAGGUGGUGGCCUCGGAGGUGGUGCCGGUUCCGGUGGUGGACUUGGAGGUGGCGCCGGAGAAGGUGCCGAUUCAGGUGGUGGGCUCGGUGGUGGCGCAGGAGGAGGUUCAGGUGGUGGGCUCGGUGGUGGCGUGGGAGGCGGAGCAGGAGGAGGCCUUGGAGGAGGUNN
RNAcentral lists this long non-coding RNA (306 nucleotides) under Triticum aestivum (bread wheat). RNAcentral describes it as "long non-coding RNA (TAES_LNC022452)". The record is from RNAcentral. Lineage: Eukaryota; Viridiplantae; Streptophyta; Magnoliopsida; Poales; Poaceae.